AGCAUUGUCUCCACUCUGGUUGUGGCAACAACUAUCUCGUCCAAUCCUCCUUCAAGAUGAUAAGCGAAAGAGAUAAGCUCUCCAAAUUGAACUGGGGACUCGUAGCCAGGAACUCUCAACUGAGUCACUUCUUUGAUUUCCUUGUGGUCAACCUCAAUAUCAGAUAUCGCAGUCCGCAAUGUGCAGUCCCAAUUCACAAGGCGGUUAUCCCUGUAAAUAAGACCUUCUCUGUACAGCCUAACAAAGGCCUCGAUUACUGCUUU
This 263-nucleotide unclassified non-coding RNA is filed under the name Hevea brasiliensis (rubber tree). The record is from RNAcentral. Lineage: Eukaryota; Viridiplantae; Streptophyta; Magnoliopsida; Malpighiales; Euphorbiaceae.